Molecule: long non-coding RNA, 1127 nt
Filed under: Varanus komodoensis (Komodo dragon)
Lineage: Eukaryota; Metazoa; Chordata; Lepidosauria; Squamata; Varanidae
Description: lncRNA (ENSVKKG00000009963.1)
Source: RNAcentral
UUUGAGCUUCUUGGAGGAAAAGCAGGAUAUAAAUGUAACAAAUAGGAACUUUGAUGAAUCAAUGGCAAUUGUUCCCAUAUAUUAACUAUCUGGUAGAAGGCAUGAAUGAUAUGUUGACAUUUCACAUCUGCCUUUAGUGGAGUGUGUACAGUUCAUCUACCCUGUGAAGACAACACUUUCCACUUUUCAUUUGCUAGUGCACAUUAGUGUAUGCAGCUUAAAAACUAUUCAAGCUCCCUACCUGCCACACUGCAGGAGUAAGUCUGGAAAGGCUGGGCAUGUGCCCUGUGCUGUGAUUUUCUUUUUUUAUGACAAAUGAUGAUGCAGGUUCUCAGUGUGAAAGGGCAAAGUGGAUGCUACUCCAAAAAGAGCUUAUCUGUAAUAAAUGUAUUCAUCUCUAAAGUACCAAAAGACUCUGGUUUUACCACAGUGGUAUAACGCAGCUACUGCUCUAAACAAGUACUCAUUUUAUUUAUAAAAUUAUGUAUGAAUGACCCUUUGGUUCCAAAAGCAACAUGUAUUCAUUUCAAAACCUACCCAUUAUUUAGUGUGAAUCUGCAGAAGAUGAUGUCAAUUCUUAAACACUUUAGAAGUACCGGUGACAAAAUAACAUUAAUUUUGUGUGUAAAAAGAGAGGUAUGUUGAGGCUGCAUGCAGUGUCCAAAUGCUGUGUUCUAUUCUUAUGUGUGUGACAGUCUGUGGAGGAAAAAUAAAGGCUCUGGUUUCAAGAGAUUAUGUCAGAAGAUUCAGAUAAAGACAAGCAACACAGAGAACAAUUAACCAGUGAUGAUUACAACUCGGAUGAGGACCCCUUCAGUCCAUUUUUAACUGAAGAAUUUGAGCAGUGUGCAUUUUUCCCAGGUCUGAUAUUUUUCUUUUUUGUCAUGCAUUUGCAGUUAGCUGGUUGGAACACGGUGGAGUUCUGGCAUACACUGGUACACAGUAUACAUAUUGUACAUAUAUAUAUAUAUACUGGUAUACAACUGGAGAAAUCACCAGCAUCAUACACAAGGAUAUCAAAGCAUCAAAAACCAGCAAUGGGACCCCUCUUCUGUAAUGUUAUACUAAUACUAUAUGCACUAUUGGAAGUAAAACUUUUGCUCAUGCAUCUGUAUGGUGAUGCAUCA